Cavia porcellus (domestic guinea pig) is the source of this 464-nucleotide non-coding RNA. NCBI's taxonomy places the organism in Eukaryota, Metazoa, Chordata, Mammalia, Rodentia, Caviidae. The record is from the annotation of a RefSeq genome assembly.
GACAGUGACGUCACUGAGUCACAAAAACCCCAAGUUCUACUUCCCCUAGCCAGGACUGGAAGUUACAAAAUCACUGCCCUCACUGAGAAAUGGGCACCAAGCUCUUCUCCUGGGUGAUCUUCAAUCUCUUGUGGGCAGGGUAUAUAGAGGCUGUAGUCAUCCAGACCCCAAGAUACAAGAUCACAAAGACAAAAGAAAAGGUGACUUUGAAAUGCCACCAGACCAACAACCAUGACAACAUGUUUUGGUAUCGACAAGAUCCAGGGCAUGGACUGAAGCUGAUCCAUUACUCAUAUGGUGUUGACGACAAGAACAAAGGAGAAGUCGAAGGAUACAGUGUCUCCAGAGAAAACACAGAGGACUUUCCCCUCACUCUGGACUCAACCAACCUGGCCCAGUCAUCUGUGUACUUUUGUGCCACCAGUUAUCCCACAGCGCUGCAUAGCCAACUCCUCUCUGCCUAA